AAGUGUCUACCAAGGGAUCCAAAAAAAAAAAAACAUCUCAUUGGCGGCCAGUUAGCCAGUGCAGUACCAAUGAUGUACCUGGUAAAAAGGCCAUGAAAGAUCAGAUACUAGACAUCUGUGAUGAAAGAGGGGAUGAAAAGGCUGAUCUUGUAUGUUUGCGGAUACUGGGAGCCCCAUCAGAUCUGCAUGGAGCAGAUGCCCAGUAUCACAGAGACGGUUUGAAGGAGUUCAAAGGUGCAAGAAAGGUUGCUGCUGUAAAAA
Molecule: long non-coding RNA, 261 nt
Organism: Thalassophryne amazonica
Lineage: Eukaryota; Metazoa; Chordata; Actinopteri; Batrachoidiformes; Batrachoididae
Exons: 3
Source: RefSeq, a predicted model, not a curated record